UACAGAGGUCUCAAGCGUUGUUCGGAUUCAUUGGGCGUAAAGGGUGCGUAGGCGGCGCGGUAAGUCGGGUGUGAAAUUUCGAGGCUUAACUUCGAAACUGCAUUCGAUACUGCCGUGCUUGAGGACUGGAGAGGAGACUGGAAUUUACGGUGUAGCGGUGAAAUGCGUAGAUAUCGUAAGGAAGACCAGUGGCGAAGGCGGGUCUCUGGACAGUUCCUGACGCUGAGGCGCGAAAGCGUGGGGAGCAAACGGG
RNAcentral lists this ribosomal RNA (253 nucleotides) under uncultured bacterium. RNAcentral's name for it is "partial 16S ribosomal RNA". It matches the Rfam family "Bacterial small subunit ribosomal RNA", at positions 524 to 776 of the family's 1533-position model. The record is from RNAcentral.